This 253-nucleotide ribosomal RNA is filed under the name uncultured bacterium. RNAcentral's name for it is "partial 16S ribosomal RNA". It matches the Rfam family "Bacterial small subunit ribosomal RNA", at positions 524 to 776 of the family's 1533-position model. The record is from RNAcentral.
UACGAAGGGGGCUAGCGUUGCUCGGAAUCACUGGGCGUAAAGCGCACGUAGGCGGCUUUUUAAGUCAGGGGUGAAAUCCUGGAGCUCAACUCCAGAACUGCCUUUGAUACUGAGAAGCUUGAGUCCGGGAGAGGUGAGUGGAACUGCGAGUGUAGAGGUGAAAUUCGUAGAUAUUCGGAGGAACACCAGUGGCGAAGGCGGCUCGCUGGCUCGAUACUGACGCUGAGGUGCGAAAGCGUGGGGAGCAAACAGG